GACGAACGCUGGCGGCGUGCUUAACACAUGCAAGUCGAACGGAAAGGCCCUGCUUUUGUGGGGUGCUCGAGUGGCGAACGGGUGAGUAACACGUGAGUAACCUGCCCUUGACUUUGGGAUAACUUCAGGAAACUGGGGCUAAUACCGGAUAGGAGCUCCUGCUGCAUGGUGGGGGUUGGAAAGUUUCGGCGGUUGGGGAUGGACUCGCGGCUUAUCAGCUUGUUGGUGGGGUAGUGGCUUACCAAGGCUUUGACGGGUAGCCGGCCUGAGAGGGGGACCGGCCACAUGGGGACUGAGGUACGGCCCAGACUCCUACGGGAGGCAGCAGUGGGGAAUAUUGCACAAUGGGCCGAAGCCUGAUGCAGCAACGCCGCGUGCGGGAUGACGGCCUUCGGGUUGUAAACCGCUUUCGCCUGUGACGAAGCGUGAGUGACGGUAAUGGGUAAAGAAGCACCGGCUAACUACGUG
This 468-nucleotide ribosomal RNA is filed under the name uncultured bacterium. Its description in RNAcentral is "partial 16S ribosomal RNA". It matches the Rfam family "Bacterial small subunit ribosomal RNA", at positions 28 to 507 of the family's 1533-position model. The record is from RNAcentral.